AGGAUAAUAGUUAAUUAUAACAUUUAAUUUGCACUUAAAAAGUAUUGAUCCUCAAUUUAUCUUA
Molecule: transfer RNA, 64 nt
Filed under: Hemisodorcus donckieri
Lineage: Eukaryota; Metazoa; Arthropoda; Insecta; Coleoptera; Lucanidae
Description: tRNA-Ala
Source: RNAcentral